UACAGAGGUCCCAAGCGUUGUUCGGAUUCACUGGGCGUAAAGGGUGCGUAGGCGGUCGGGUAAGUCUGAUGUGAAAUCUCACAGCUUAACUGUGAAACUGCAUUGGAUACUAUCCGGCUAGAGGAAUGGAGGGGAGACUGGAAAACUUGGUGUAGUAGUGAAAUGCGUAGAGAUCAGGAGGAACACCGGUGGCGAAGGCGGCCCACUGGGCUGUCACUGACGCUGAGGCGCGAAAGCUCGGGGAGCGAACGGG
This 253-nucleotide ribosomal RNA is filed under the name uncultured bacterium. Its description in RNAcentral is "partial 16S ribosomal RNA". It matches the Rfam family "Bacterial small subunit ribosomal RNA", at positions 524 to 776 of the family's 1533-position model. The record is from RNAcentral.